CAAUUUCUUAGUACCUUAUCUGGGGGGGUUGAUUUUGACUGGCACUGCCUCCCACCUCGAGGAAGAUCCGGUGGGGUUUUACUUGGGGUUAAGUGUGAAACGUUGGAGGUUCGGAGUGUAGUGUUGGGUGAGUUUGCGGUAAAGUUUCGGGUCAGAACUAAAGCGGAUGGUUUUGAUUGGGCUUUGGUGGCAGUCUAUGGGGCUGCGCAACCAGAACUCAAGCCAGAUUUCUUGGCUGAUUUGGUCCGUGUUUGCGGUAACGAGCAACUACCCGUCUUAGUGGGUGGGGAUUUUAACAUUAUUCGAAGAAAGGAGGAAAAGAAUAAUGACAACUUUGACGGCAGAUGGUCGUUUAUGUUCAAUACUAUCAUAGAAAGCUUGGAUCUCAGAGAG
RNAcentral lists this ribosomal RNA (393 nucleotides) under Triticum aestivum (bread wheat). RNAcentral describes it as "partial small subunit ribosomal RNA". Lineage: Eukaryota; Viridiplantae; Streptophyta; Magnoliopsida; Poales; Poaceae. The record is from RNAcentral.